Molecule: transfer RNA, 57 nt
Filed under: Capra hircus (goat)
Lineage: Eukaryota; Metazoa; Chordata; Mammalia; Artiodactyla; Bovidae
Also listed under: 2 other names
Rfam family: tRNA
About the family: Transfer RNA (tRNA) molecules are approximately 80 nucleotides in length. Their secondary structure includes four short double-helical elements and three loops (D, anti-codon, and T loops).
Source: Rfam by way of RNAcentral
UGGCUCAGUUGGUAAAGAAUCUGCCUGCAAUGCAGGAUACCCAGGUUCAAUCCCUGG